UUUCCGUAGGUGAACCUGCGGAAGGAUCAUUAUUGAAUAACAGAGGUGCGAGGGCUGUCGCUGACCCGAAAGGUCGUGCACGCCCGAGUGCCCGCACACACAUCCAUCUCACCCCGAUGUGCACCACCGCGUGGGUCCCCCUUUGGCUUGUUCGGCGGGGGGCUUACGUUUUCACACAAACUGUUUAUGCAGUGUAGAAUGUAUUUUUUGUUUUUGCGAUCACGCAAUCAAUACAACUUUCAACAACGGAUCUCUUGGCUCUC
This 263-nucleotide unclassified non-coding RNA is filed under the name plant metagenome. Its description in RNAcentral is "partial contains small subunit ribosomal RNA, internal transcribed spacer 1, and 5.8S ribosomal RNA". The record is from RNAcentral.